GUAGUCCACGCCCUAAACGAUGACAACUAGGUGUUGGGGAAGCGAUUUCUCAGUACCGCAGCUAACGCGUGAAGUUGUCCGCCUGGGGAGUACGGUCGCAAGAUUAAAACUCAAAGGAAUUGACGGGGACCCGCACAAGCGGUGGAUGAUGUGGAUUAAUUCGAUGCAACGCGAAUAACCUUACCUACCCUUGACAUGUACGGAAGCCCAGCGAGAGCUGGGUGUGCCCGAAAGGGAGCCGUAACACAGGUGCUGCAUGGCUGUCGUCAGCUCGUGUCGUGAGAUGUUGGGUUAAGUCCCGCAACGAGCGCAACCCUUGUCCCUAGUUGCUACGCAAGGGCACUCUAGGGAGACUGCCGGUGACAAACCGGA
This 372-nucleotide ribosomal RNA is filed under the name uncultured bacterium. RNAcentral describes it as "bacterial SSU rRNA". It matches the Rfam family "Bacterial small subunit ribosomal RNA", at positions 790 to 1167 of the family's 1533-position model. The record is from RNAcentral.